AUACGGAGGGUGCAAGCGUUAAUCGGAAUUACUGGGCGUAAAGCGUACGUAGGCGGUCCGUUAAGUUAGAUGUGAAAGCCCCGGGCUUAACCUGGGAACUGCAUUUAAAACUGGCGGACUAGAGUUGAGUAGAGGGGAGUGGAAUUUCAGGUGUAGCGGUGAAAUGCGUAGAGAUCUGAAGGAACACCAGUGGCGAAGGCGACUCCCUGGACUCGAACUGACGCUGAGGUACGAAAGCGUGGGUAGCAAACGGGAUUAGAAACCCCGGUAGUCC
This 274-nucleotide ribosomal RNA is filed under the name uncultured bacterium. RNAcentral describes it as "partial 16S ribosomal RNA". It matches the Rfam family "Bacterial small subunit ribosomal RNA", at positions 523 to 796 of the family's 1533-position model. The record is from RNAcentral.